CUGAGAGCAGAUCCCUUUCUUUGGGAAAACAAGCCCAUGAAGCUGUGCUCAAGAGUGAUGAGCACAAAAGCAACAUCUACUUGUUGACGGGAUUGAUCGAUAUGUACUGCAAGUGUGGCGAGCUUGAGGAGGCUCGCAAGAUUUUCGACUCCAUGGGAACCCGGAGUGUUGUGUCCUACAACGCGAUCAUCCAGGGCUGCGGCUCGAACGGGCAAGCUGAACUUGCUCUGGAGUACUACUCUGCCCUGAGAGCUUGUACCACCAUUCAACCCAACGAUCGGACACAUGUCGCGGUGAUCAGCGCCUGCUCCAGACUUGCUACCGAAUCCAGCGAGAAGAGGGAGAGAGCUCUACGCAUCGGGAUGGAGAUCCAUUCAAUGCUGAGCAAGGAGAAGAAACAGCUAGAUCUGUUCGUGGCGACUUGCCUGGUAGACAUGUACUGCAAGUGUGGCGAGCUUGAGGAGGCUCGCAAGAUUUUCCACUCCAUGGGAACUCGGAGUGUUGUGUCCUACAACGCGAUCAUCCACGGCUGCGGCUCGAACGGGCAAGCUGAACUUGCUCUGGAGUACUACUCUGCCCUGAGAGCUGAUAACACCAUUCAACCCGACGAUUGGACACAUGUCGCGGUGAUCAGCGCCUGCUCCACACUUGCUACCGAAUCCAGUGAGAAGAGGGAGAGAGCUCUACGCAUCGGGAUGGAAGUCCAUUCAGUACUGAGCAAGGAGAAGAAACAUCUAGGUCUGUUCGUGGCGAAUUGCCUGGUAGACAUGUACUGCAAGUGUGGCGAGCUUGAGGAGGCUCGCAAGAUUUUCCACUCCAUGGGAACUCGGAGUGUUGUGUCCUACAACGCGAUCAUCCAGGGAUGUGGCUCGAACGGGCAAGCUGAACUUGCUCUGGAGUACUACUCUGCCCUGAGAGCUUGUACCACCAUUCAACCCAACGAUCGGACUCAUGUCGCGGUGAUCAGCACCUGCUCCACACUUGCUACCGAAUCCAGGGAGAAGAGGGAGAGAGCUCUACGCAUCGGGAUGGAGAUCCAUUCAAUGCUGAGCAAGGAGAAGAAACAGCUAGAUCUGUUCGUGGCGAAUUGCCUGGUAGACAUGUACUGCAAGUGUGGCGAGCUUGAGGAGGCUCGCAAGAUUUUCCACUCCAUGGGAACUCGGAGUGUUGUGUCCUACACCGCAAUCAUCCAGGGCUGCAACACGAACGGGCGAGCUGAACUUGCUCUGGAGUACUACUCUGCCCUGAGAGCUUGUACCACCAUUCAACCCAACGAUCGGACUCAUGUCGCGGUGAUCAGCGCCUGCUCCACACUUGCUACCGAAUCCAGCGAGAAGAGGGAGAGAGCUCUACGCAUCGGGAUGGAAGUCCAUUCAGUACUGAGCAAGGAGAAGAAACAUCUAGGUCUGUACAUGGCGAAUUGCCUGGUAGACAUGUACUGCAAGUGUGGCGAGCUUGAGGAGGCUCGCAAGAUUUUCCACUCCAUGGGAACUCGGAGUGUUGUGUCCUACACCGCAAUCAUCCAGGGCUGCAACACGAACGGGCGAGCUGAACUUGCUCUGGAGUACUACUCUGCCCUGAGAGUUGAUAACACCAUUGAACCCGACGAUCGGACUCAUGUCGCAGUGAUCAGCACCUGCUCCAGACUUGCUACCGAAUCCAGCGAGAAGAGGGAGAGAGCUCUACGCCUCGGGAUGGAGAUCCAUUCAAUGCUGAGCAAGGAGAAGAAACAGGUAGAUCUGUUCGUGGCGACUUGCCUGGUAGACAUGUACUGCAAGUGUGGCGAGCUUGAGGAGGCUCGCAAGAUUUUCCACUCCAUGGGAACUCGGAGUGUUGUGUCCUACACCGCGAUCAUCCAGGGCUGCAACACGAACGGCCGAGCUGAACUUGCUCUGGAGUACUACUCUGCCCUGAGAGCUGAUAACACGAUUCAACCCGACGAUCAGACUCAUGUCGUGGUGAUCAGCGCCUGCUCCACACUUGCUACCGAAUCCAGCGAGAAGAGGGAGAGAGCUCUACGCAUCGGGAUGGAGAUCCAUUCAAUGCUGAGCAAGGAGAAGAAACAGCUAGAUCUGUUCGUGGCGAAUUGCCUGGUAGACAUGUACUGCAAGUGUGGGGAGCUUGAGGAGGCUCGCAAGAUUUUCAACUCCAUGGGAACUCGGAGUGUUGUGUCCUACACUGCGAUCAUCCAGGGCUGCAACACGAACGGGCGAGCUGAACUUGCUCUGGAGUACUACUCUGCCCUGAGAGCUGAUAACACCAUUCAAGCUGAUGCUUGCACCUAC
RNAcentral lists this long non-coding RNA (2285 nucleotides) under Selaginella moellendorffii. Its description in RNAcentral is "long non-coding RNA (SMOE_LNC001015)". The record is from RNAcentral. Lineage: Eukaryota; Viridiplantae; Streptophyta; Lycopodiopsida; Selaginellales; Selaginellaceae.